UAAAACAAAAAUUUAAGUCAGUUAAAAUGCAAAUAUUAAAUAGAUAUAAUUAGAAGUUGUGUAGUAUAUGUUGUGGAUAGUAUAUUGUUGUGUGGGGUGAAAUUUAGAAAAUGAAAUAAAAGAAAGAAAAAGGAAAUAGAAAUAGAAAUAAAAUUAAAAGGAUAAUGAUAGAAGUUAAGAGAUAUAAAUCUCUUUUGAACCCACUUACGGGAACAUUCCCACAUACAUAUCCAUUCACCAAGUUCCCACACACACACAUACACUCACUGCCAUUCACACACAUACACGCACGACGAUAAGCUCUCUCCGGCGACCCUCGCGUCACCGGUUCACACGCCAGUUCUUUUUCCUCUCUGUGUUGCUGCUGUCCGGCGGAUUCCGGCGUUGUUAUCGCCGUUUUCCGGCGAGUCUAGGCUGGACUUAUCUCUAAUUAAUGUAAUACCACCUCAAGAACUAAUACGGGCAAGGAGAAGACGAAGGUGAAGGAGUAAGGCGAUUCCAAUAUCAAGACAUUUUGGAUUUUGAGACUAGGUGAUCGGGCUAACCCUUUUUACUGUACAGCUGCUCAAGUCGGGUCACUAGCGAAUUUUUUUGCGUGUGAGUAACUCCCUAGAUGUGUUAGUCGGGGCAUGUACAGGAGUAGAUUGCAAUAGGGGACUUUUUACUUCUUUCUACACGUUUGCUAAGUAUGUAUGUUUUUGUGGAUAGCUAAACAAACCGUGUAUAUGUAUAUAAAUAUAAAUAGUCUUA
This is a non-coding RNA of Salvia hispanica, 750 nucleotides long. The record is from RefSeq and is a predicted model, not a curated record. Lineage: Eukaryota; Viridiplantae; Streptophyta; Magnoliopsida; Lamiales; Lamiaceae.